AUGCCAGACUCCUACGGGAGGCAGCAGUGGGGGAUAUUGCACAAUGGGGGGAACCCUGAUGCAGCGACGCCGCGUGAGGGAAGACGGCCUUCGGGUUGUAAACCUCUGUCGCAGGGGACGAAGGAGAUGACGGUACCCUGUGAGGAAGCCACGGCUAACUACGUGCCAGCAGCCGCGGUAAUACGUAGGGGGCAAGCGUUAUCCGGAUUUACUGGGUGUAAAGGGCGUGCAGCCGGAGAGACAAGUCAGAUGUGAAAUCCACGGGCUCAACCCGUGAACUGCAUUUGAAACUGUUUCCCUUGAGUGUCGGAGAGGUAAUCGGAAUUCCUUGUGUAGCGGUGAAAUGCGUAGAUAUAAGGAAGAACACCAGUGGCGAAGGCGGAUUACUGGACGAUAACUGACGGUGAGGCGCGAAAGCGUGGGGAGCAAACAGGAUUAGAUACCCUCGUAU
This 451-nucleotide ribosomal RNA is filed under the name uncultured bacterium. RNAcentral's name for it is "partial 16S ribosomal RNA". It matches the Rfam family "Bacterial small subunit ribosomal RNA", at positions 328 to 793 of the family's 1533-position model. The record is from RNAcentral.